Molecule: ribosomal RNA, 253 nt
Filed under: uncultured bacterium
Lineage: Bacteria
Description: partial 16S ribosomal RNA
Rfam family: Bacterial small subunit ribosomal RNA
Source: RNAcentral
UACGUAGGGUGCAAGCGUUGUCCGGAUUUAUUGGGCGUAAAGAGCUCGUAGGCGGUUUGUCGCGUCGGCUGUGAAAACUCGGGGCUCAACCCCGAGCCUGCAGUCGAUACGGGCAAACUAGAGUGUGGUAGGGGAGACUGGAAUUCCUGGUGUAGCGGUGAAAUGCGCAGAUAUCAGGAGGAACACCGGCGGCGAAGGCGGGUCUCUGGGCCAUAACUGACGCUGAGGAGCGAAAGCGUGGGGAGCGAACAGG